AGAGACAGCAGUAGCGGUAAUACGGAGGGUGCAAGCGUUAAUCGGAAUUACUGGGCGUAAAGCGCACGCAGGCGGUCUGACAAGUCAGAUGUGAAAUCCCCGGGCUUAACCUGGGAACUGCAUUUGAAACUGUCAGGCUGGAGUCUUGUAGAGGGGGGUGGAAUUCCAGGUGUAGCGGUGAAAUGCGUAGAGAUCUGGAGGAAUACCGGUGGCGAAGGCGGCCCCCUGGACAAAGACUGACGCUCAGGUGCGAAAGCGUGGGGAGCAAACAGGAUUAGAUACCCGGGUAGUCCCUGUCUCUUAUACACA
This 309-nucleotide ribosomal RNA is filed under the name uncultured bacterium. RNAcentral's name for it is "partial 16S ribosomal RNA". It matches the Rfam family "Bacterial small subunit ribosomal RNA", at positions 504 to 810 of the family's 1533-position model. The record is from RNAcentral.